GAUGAACGCUGGCGGCGUGCCUAAUACAUGCAAGUCGAGCGAACGGACGAGAAGCUUGCUUCUCUGAUGUUAGCGGCGGACGGGUGAGUAACACGUGGAUAACCUACCUAUAAGACUGGGAUAACUUCGGGAAACCGUAGCUAAUACCGGAUAAUAUUUUGAACCGCAUGGUUCAAAAGUGAAAGACGGUCUUGCUGUCACUUAUAGAUGGAUCCGCGCUGCAUUAGCUAGUUGGUAAGGUAACGGCUUACCAAGGCAACGAUGCAUAGCCGACCUGAGAAGGUGAUCGGCCACACUGGAACUGAGACACGGUCCAGACUCCUACGGGAGGCAGCAGUAGGGAAUCUUCCGCAAUGGGCGAAAGCCUGACGGAGCAACGCCGCGUGAGUGAUGAAGGUCUUCGGAUCGUAAAACUCUGUUAUUAGGGAAGAACAUAUGUGUAAGUAACUGUGCACAUCUUGACGGUACCUAAUCAGAAAGCCACGGCUAACUACGUG
RNAcentral lists this ribosomal RNA (497 nucleotides) under uncultured bacterium. RNAcentral's name for it is "partial 16S ribosomal RNA". It matches the Rfam family "Bacterial small subunit ribosomal RNA", at positions 28 to 507 of the family's 1533-position model. The record is from RNAcentral.